This 392-nucleotide ribosomal RNA is filed under the name Babesia microti. RNAcentral describes it as "SSU rRNA". It matches the Rfam family "Eukaryotic small subunit ribosomal RNA", at positions 462 to 880 of the family's 1831-position model. The record is from RNAcentral. Lineage: Eukaryota; Apicomplexa; Aconoidasida; Piroplasmida; Babesiidae.
AGGUAGUGACAAGAAAUAACAAUACAGGGCUUAAAGUCUUGUAAUUGGAAUGAUGGGAAUCUAAACCCUUCCCAGAGUAUCAAUUGGAGGGCAAGUCUGGUGCCAGCAGCCGCGGUAAUUCCAGCUCCAAUAGCGUAUAUUAAAGUUGUUGCAGUUAAGAAGCUCGUAGUUGAAUUUCUGCCUUGUCAUUAAUCUCGCUUCCGAGCGUUUUUUUAUUGGCUUGGCAUCUUCUGGAUUUGGUGCCUUCGGGUACUAUUUUCCAGGAUUUACUUUGAGAAAACUAGAGUGUUUCAAACAGGCAUUCGCCUUGAAUACUACAGCAUGGAAUAAUGAAGUAGGACUUUGGUUCUAUUUUGUUGGUUAUUGAGCCAGAGUAAUGGUUAAUAGGAGCA